UAAACUUUUCUAAAAUUGCAUUUUGACCCCUAAACUUUCUUAAAAUUACAUUUCUACCCCUAAAAUUUUCUAAAUUACAUUUGGGCCCUUAAACUUUCUAUAAAUUACAUUUUGGUACCAUAUUUUCCUAAAAUUACAUUUUUACCCCAGAAACUUUGCACCAUAUGCAGUUUGGUCCUCCUGGACUUGUCAAAUCGCCGCAACCAUCAGGCCAGCUCCAGCAGCCUCCCUAGGCCAUGAUUGCUCCAGUGCCACCUGAAAACAAAGAAGAAGACAAAAUAGAAGGAUUUAAAAGAAGAAAAUGAGAGAAAGAGAAGGGGGCAGCCAAGCAAGAAGCAAAAAAGAAAAAAAAUAAAUUUUGAGCAAAAAAAGAGCAAAAACAGCAGCAAAAAAAGGCAUACCGCCGCCGUCGUGCUCGCGCCACCGGCCCACCACCGCGACACCACACUCCCGACAACUAGCAAAACAACCAAAAAGAAAAAAAAAGAAAGAAACAACAAGCAAAAGAGAAAAAAAGAGAAAGAGAAAAGAAGAAAGAUGGGGGAAAGAGGAGACAACCGUGCGCCGCCGCCGGCCGUCACACCGUAGGCGGAGGAAGCGCCACCAGCAACAGAGAAAACGGUAGGGGGCUGAUCGGGAAAGAAAGAAAAAAGAGAAAGAAAAGAGAAGAAAGAAAGAGAAAAAGAAAAAAAGAAAGAAAACAGAAAGAAGAAGGAAGAAAAAAAGGGAGAUAAAAAAUUUUUAAAAAAAACUAAUAGUCCGGUCAAACCGACCUGACCCGGAAGCCGACCCGACCCGAUCUACAACAGGCCCGCACCAGCAGCCCUAGGCCCAAAAAAAAGCAAAACCCAAAAAAAAAGUAAAAAAAAGAAGCAGCAGAAAUUAAUAGCAGGCCUUUUUAACAGGCCCAACAGCAACCCAAAUCCGCCAGACCCAGCAGCUCCAGCGCAGCCCAAACCAGCAGCAACAUCGGCCCAGUCCAUUGGCAGCCUAAUAAGCAGCAGCCCAAC
This 1010-nucleotide long non-coding RNA is filed under the name Gossypium raimondii (Peruvian cotton). Its description in RNAcentral is "long non-coding RNA (GRAI_LNC006089)". Lineage: Eukaryota; Viridiplantae; Streptophyta; Magnoliopsida; Malvales; Malvaceae. The record is from RNAcentral.